AUUUAGGCAUGAUCUGACCUGUUUGCUGAUUACAAUCAACUCCGGUGAGAGCUCUGACCUUCACCUAGAUCUGGCAGCUGCUGGCAACCGGGAAGCAGGAUGUUUUGUAUCCAAACUGGUGCUCACUCUCUGUCAGCCUAAGGUUUGCUGUCAGAAAAAUAUGGAUGGAAACUCCCCUAAGCCUACGAAGAUCUCUUUAAUGAAUCAUCUGCUACAUCCUAGCAAGAUUUAAUUAGUUUAUCAUACGUCCAGAAGGACUCUAGGAUUUCUGAACAAGAGGAAUAAGUUCUAUGCCUUCUGCUUUGUAACAACUGUGAAGAUCUUCAGCAGCCAUGGAUUUUCUGUCCUUUUUGAUCCAGUUCAUUACAUCUGACAAUGCACUUCAAGUCUAUGCUGUCAACUGUGAAGAAAAGGAAGGAUAGCAAGUGAAUGCAAAAGCAAAUCACAUCUGACUGCAUACCUAGGAAAAUGUAAAUGACCUUCUUUUCCUCCUGUUAUUCCGGGACUUGGAAAUCAAAAGUAAAAAACAUCUGUGUGGCAACGUAAGGCUAUGCAAGCAAGCAGAAAUCUUGUUCCUCUGCUCAAACGCUUUUACAAAAUACAAGCAAAGACUGAUUAAUAGGAGCAAUCCAUCCUGAUGUCAAGAAAUUGAGCACAGCGUCUCAAAAAAGAGGUCAACAAACUCCUCAGAAGUUGCAUCAAUCUCUAAUUACCAAUCUAUGUAAGAUUAAUUAAGAUUAAUGCUUGACUGGUGUUGUUUUUACCAUUUUUCUAGAGAUAAUGUCUCAGGGCAAUUUUUGUAUGUA
Molecule: long non-coding RNA, 806 nt
Organism: Mauremys mutica (yellowpond turtle)
Lineage: Eukaryota; Metazoa; Chordata; Testudines; Geoemydidae
Exons: 6
Source: RefSeq, a predicted model, not a curated record